This 343-nucleotide unclassified non-coding RNA is filed under the name soil metagenome. RNAcentral describes it as "partial contains 5.8S ribosomal RNA, internal transcribed spacer 2, and large subunit ribosomal RNA". The stretch from base 1 to 120 matches the Rfam family "5.8S ribosomal RNA", at positions 35 to 154 of the family's 154-position model. The record is from RNAcentral.
GAUGAAGAACGCAGCGAAACGCGAUAGGUAAUGUGAAUUGCAGAAUCCAGUGAAUCAUCGAAUCUUUGAACGCACAUUGCGCCCGCCAGCAUUCUGGCGGGCAUGCCUGUUCGAGCGUCAUUUCAACCCUCGACCUCCCCUUGGGGAGGUCGGCGUUGGGGACCGGCAGCACACCGCCGGCCCUGAGAUGGAGUGGCGGCCCGUCCGCGGCGACCUCUGCGCAGUAAUACAGCUCGCACCGGGACCCCGACGCGGCCACGCCGUAAAACACCCAACUUCUGAACGUUGACCUCGAAUCAGGUAGGACUACCCGCUGAACUUAAGCAUAUCAAUAAGCGGAGGA